This 1453-nucleotide ribosomal RNA is filed under the name Enterococcus faecium. Its description in RNAcentral is "partial 23S ribosomal RNA". It matches the Rfam family "Bacterial large subunit ribosomal RNA", at positions 99 to 1553 of the family's 2925-position model. Lineage: Bacteria; Bacillati; Bacillota; Bacilli; Lactobacillales; Enterococcaceae. The record is from RNAcentral.
AUGAUCCAGAGAUUUCCGAAUGGGGGAACCCAACAUCUUUAAUAGGAUGUUACGAUUGUGUGAAUACAUAGCACAUUCGAGGUAGACGCAGAGAACUGAAACAUCUAAGUACCUGCAGGAAGAGAAAGAAAAUUCGAUUCCCUGAGUAGCGGCGAGCGAAACGGGAAAAGCCCAAACCAGCAAGCUUGCUUGUUGGGGUUGUAGGACUCCAAUAUGGUAGUUCUUUCAGAUAGUCGAAUGACUUGGAAAAGUCAGUCAAAGAGGGUAAAAACCCCGUAGACGAAAUGUGGAAGACACCUAGGAGGAUCCUGAGUACGGCGGAACACGAGAAAUUCCGUCGGAAUCCGGGAGGACCAUCUCCCAAGGCUAAAUACUCCCUAGUGACCGAUAGUGAACCAGUACCGUGAGGGAAAGGUGAAAAGCACCCCGGAAGGGGAGUGAAAUAGAACCUGAAACCGUGUGCCUACAACAAGUCAAAGCCCGUUAAUGGGUGAUGGCGUGCCUUUUGUAGAAUGAACCGGCGAGUUACGAUUGCAUGCGAGGUUAAGUUGAAGAGACGGAGCCGCAGCGAAAGCGAGUCUGAAUAGGGCGUUUGAGUAUGUAGUCGUAGACCCGAAACCAUGUGAUCUACCCAUGUCCAGGUUGAAGGUGCGGUAAAACGCACUGGAGGACCGAACCCACGUACGUUGAAAAGUGCGGGGAUGAGGUGUGGGUAGCGGAGAAAUUCCAAACGAACUUGGAGAUAGCUGGUUCUCUCCGAAAUAGCUUUAGGGCUAGCCUCGGAAUUGAGAAUGAUGGAGGUAGAGCACUGUUUGGACUAGGGGCCCAUCUCGGGUUACCGAAUUCAGAUAAACUCCGAAUGCCAUUCAUUCAUAUCCGGGAGUCAGACUGUGAGUGAUAAGAUCCAUAGUCGAAAGGGAAACAGCCCAGACCACCAGCUAAGGUCCCAAAAUAUAUGUUAAGUGGAAAAGGAUGUGGGGUUGCACAGACAACUAGGAUGUUGGCUUAGAAGCAGCCACCAUUUAAAGAGUGCGUAAUAGCUCACUAGUCGAGUGACCCUGCGCCGAAAAUGUACCGGGGCUAAACAUAUUACCGAAGCUGUGGAGUACACCUUUAGGUGUAUUGGUAGGAGAGCGUUCUAAGGGCGUUGAAGGCAGAUCGUGAGGACUGCUGGAGCGCUUAGAAGUGAGAAUGCCGGUAUGAGUAGCGAAAGACAGGUGAGAAUCCUGUCCACCGAAUGACUAAGGUUUCCUGGGGAAGGCUCGUCCGCCCAGGGUUAGUCGGGACCUAAGCCGAGGCCGACAGGCGUAGGCGAUGGAUAACAGGUUGAUAUUCCUGUACCCGUUGUUUUUGUUUGAGCAAUGGAGGGACGCAGGAGGCUAAGGAAUGCAGACGAUCGGAAAUGUCUGUCCAAGCAGUAAGUCUGAAGAGGAGUCAAAUGCUUCUUUUCUUA